AGUGAACGCUGGCGGUAGGCCUAACACAUGCAAGUCGAACGGCAGCACAGUAAGAGCUUGCUCUUACGGGUGGCGAGUGGCGGACGGGUGGGGAAUACAUCGGAAUCUACUUUUUCGUGGGGGAUAACGUAGGGAAACUUACGCUAAUACCGCAUACGACCUACGGGUGAAAGCAGGGGAUCUUCGGACCUUGCGCGAUUGAAUGAGCCGAUGUCGGAUUAGCUAGUUGGCGGGGUAAAGGCCCACCAAGGCGACGAUCCGUAGCUGGUCUGAGAGGAUGAUCAGCCACACUGGAACUGAGACACGGCCCAGACUCCUACGGGAGGCAGCAGUGGGGAAUAUUGGACAAUGGGCGCAAGCCUGAUCCAGCCAUACCGCGUGGGUGAAGAAGGCCUUCGGGUUGUAAAGCCCUUUUGUUGGGAAAGAAAAGCAGCAGGUUAAUACCCCGCUGUUCUGACGGUACCCAAAGAAUAAGCACCGGCUAACUUCGUG
RNAcentral lists this ribosomal RNA (492 nucleotides) under uncultured bacterium. RNAcentral describes it as "partial 16S ribosomal RNA". It matches the Rfam family "Bacterial small subunit ribosomal RNA", at positions 29 to 507 of the family's 1533-position model. The record is from RNAcentral.